GUCGGAGCUGCAGGUGAGAAGAGUCAGCAGAGUUUUACUCACCGUGUGGAUUUUCAUUCCUUCUAAUGCUGUUAGCGGUGUGCGUCCAUGAGACUAAACCACACCAUCACUCACCACACGGCAUAUAGCAUUUUACAGCCUGUUAAAUCCCCUCACUCACAUUAUGGAUGUGUGCUUCGGAUUCUUGCUAAAUAAAUGAGUGAACG
Maylandia zebra (zebra mbuna) is the source of this 206-nucleotide non-coding RNA. NCBI's taxonomy places the organism in Eukaryota, Metazoa, Chordata, Actinopteri, Cichliformes, Cichlidae. The record is from RefSeq and is a predicted model, not a curated record.